CAAUAGCGUAUAUUAAAGUUGUUGCGGUUAAAAGCUCGUAGUUGGAUUUCUUCGGAGGUAGACGGGUCCGCCUUUUGGGCGUUUAUUCGAUCGGCCUCUGAAUCCUGUCAAAGAACGUACUUGUGAUUCAGUUCAUGAUGCGGAAUUUGACACUUUUACUUUGAGGAAAUUAGAGUGUUCACGGCAGGCAAUCGCCUUGAAUAUGUUAGCAUGGAAUAAUAAUAUAGGAUCUUGGGUCUAUUUUGUUGGUUUCUAGAGCUAAGAUAAUGAUUAAUAGGGACAAUUGGGGGUAUUCGUAUUAACACGUCAGAGGUGGAAUUCUUAGAUUGUGUUACGACGAACUACUGCGAAAGCAUUUACCAAGGAUGUUUUCAUUGAUCAAGAACGAAAGUGAGGGGAUCGAAGAUGAUCAGAUACCGU
This 420-nucleotide ribosomal RNA is filed under the name uncultured eukaryote. RNAcentral's name for it is "SSU rRNA". It matches the Rfam family "Eukaryotic small subunit ribosomal RNA", at positions 592 to 1018 of the family's 1831-position model. The record is from RNAcentral.